Molecule: long non-coding RNA, 213 nt
Filed under: Lathyrus oleraceus (garden pea)
Lineage: Eukaryota; Viridiplantae; Streptophyta; Magnoliopsida; Fabales; Fabaceae
Description: Pisum sativum (pea) long non-coding RNA (PSAT_LNC016357)
Source: RNAcentral
UUUUCUCUCUAAAUACAUUGAUCUUCAUAAUGCCCAUAGAAUCAAAACAAAGUGUAUUGUCCACACUUUCAAUCAUUAUAGGAAGUUUGAUGUCGUUGUAAAUGACAAAAUUAUUGUCGAAUCAAGUACAAUUCUUGAAAACUAUCUUUUCAUAUAUUAAUAAAUGUUAUGUAAUGAUAAAUUUAAACUUACAUCGAAUUUAAAGAAAUAUUG